Non-coding RNA from Rattus norvegicus (Norway rat), 640 nucleotides. The record is from RefSeq and is a predicted model, not a curated record. Lineage: Eukaryota; Metazoa; Chordata; Mammalia; Rodentia; Muridae.
GGGCUUCAGAGGCCCUAGGCUGGGAGAGGUGGGAGAGGCAUGCAGCUUGGCACUUCUUCAGGGACAGAGCUCAGCUCCACUGCCUCCCUGAAGGACACUGGGCAGAGGUGGGGGCGACGGAAUCCCUGGAAUGGAAUGUGCAUUGUCCUCAGACCUUGGAUUAGGAGGGCGAUCUGGGGAAGGGCUGAGAACAAUGGGGACCCAGAGGACCUGCUUCUCAGACAGACAGGGCAGGGCAGAGAGGGGCAGGCUGGGAAAGGACUGUGGUUCAGGAAAAGUAGCCAGCCCUCCCACGCCCAGGAGCUCCAGCAGCCAGGCCUCUCCCCCAGAUUUCCCGGUCAAAAGGCAGGUGCGGCCUCUGUAACUGUGGUGAAAGUCAUCUCCAGAUCCUCAACAGGACGCUCUCCAGAUGAUGCUAACUUUAAGUGAAGAGUCUGAACAAAAGCCACCAAUCACUGAAGAGGAAAUCCCACCAAUCCUCACACUGGAAAUCUACCCUAGAAGGCUCCACCUCCCAAGGACCCCUACAUAAGCACUGUCUUUCUCCAGGUCCCUGCUGUCUGCUCCCUCCCAGGAGCAUAGGCAAUCUUGGGAACACCCGUUCACACCCUAGACCCUCUGAUAAAUCUGUUUGUUGAGA